AUACGUAGGGGGCAAGCGUUGUCCGGAAUUACUGGGCGUAAAGAGCUCGUAGGCGGCUCAGCGAGUCGGUCGUGAAAGCCCGAGGCUCAACCUCGGAACUGCGGUCGAUACUGCUGUGGCUCGAGUCCGGUAGAGGAGAGUGGAAUUCCCGGUGUAGCGGUGGAAUGCGCAGAUAUCGGGAGGAACACCAGUGGCGAAGGCGGCUCUCUGGGCCGGUACUGACGCUGAGGAGCGAAAGCGUGGGGAGCAAACAGGAUUAGAAACCCUAGUAGUCC
This 275-nucleotide ribosomal RNA is filed under the name uncultured bacterium. RNAcentral describes it as "partial 16S ribosomal RNA". It matches the Rfam family "Bacterial small subunit ribosomal RNA", at positions 523 to 796 of the family's 1533-position model. The record is from RNAcentral.